UUAGGUAUGCCAGAAAAGCUAAAGCACACCAGGAAAGCUGAGCAUCCCUCCAACAUCUGCAAUUGCAGUGCUCUUUCCACCUACAGACAAAAUGGGGUUUGGUGGUUGGUGUAUGUGAGGGUGUGUAUAUGUGUCUAUCAGAGGAUGACUAUGUGGACGAGUUCCAUUGGCCUGCAAGCUACAAUGGGUUAGACAAUUUAUAAGCCUUGUCUUAUAUGACUUGGCUGCACAUGCACUAAAUCCCCAUCUAGUAGAAUUAAAAUGCAGUAACAUUUCUGUCACCAUCCCUCUGUGGUGGCACACAUCAUGUGAGGCACUAGUGAAGGUUGUGCCUGCAAGUGUCCAAGCCAGGGACAUCACUCAUCUCUCCCCAGGAGGCAACGCCCCCCAUCUCACACCUUCCCUUGGGGAGCUUGGCCUGGGCCUCCUUCCCAGCACUGAGGUAAGGCCAGGGCUUUACCAGCACGUGGUCACCUCCACUGGUGCUUUGCAGACCUCUCCAUGCACAACACACACAAGGCCAAUGGCAGUAACCAUCGGGUACACGCGUGCGGGUAUCUAGUUCCUGUCUGUGCAGGGGGUUUAACUUCAAAUGACAAAGCACUGGCCAUUCGAGCAGGUACCUCACCUGCUGUGGGACACGGGUACGCGCUCACCCGAACACUGAGCUCCAGCACAGCCAGGCCAAAAACCAAAGCACUGCUACUGAUUCUUUUCUGGACAAACAAUUUUAUUUUAGUGAAAACGAGGACAAAGGAAAUGCCAAUGGUGGAGGAGGGCGAACCCACAGCGGCAGCUUCCAAAAAGGGUUUGUUGUGUUGUUCCUCACAGACAGCAAAGGUUCUUCUCAGUUAAAAACACAACUCAUAAAACAAGACAGCUACCAGAAUUCAUUCAUUUAGGAGCUAAAAGCAUCAUCUGCAGAGCAGACGUUGUGCCAGUGACUGCGUCUGCUUCCUGUACACUCAGAAAGAGCCACCGUGUCCUGGGCAGCGGGUGAGUGAGCCACUUCCCGGGAAGAGGUGGCUGGAGGCAGGCACGGUGCCAGCUCUUGUUGGGUCACAAGGGGAGAGCAGGUGAAAACCCCAAAGGAACCAAAUGUAAACCGUGAGGGGUCAAAGGUGCUGGGGGGAUGUACGUGUCCUCGGUGUAAUUUCAUACUGUGGCAGUGAAGCAGAGGAGGUGAGUGCUGAUCCAGCAUCAACUAGAGCUAAAGUUACUCUGUUUCCCUUGAACAAAUAAGUGAAUAAUACAGAGCUGGAAAUCAUAAGGCUGAGAACAUUUUUAUGCAUACUGCAUAACAAAAUAAACCCUUUACAUAAGACAGUAAUAAUGCCCAUUAAUGAAUAUACUUAUGGCAGAGAUUUUAAUUCCAUGCAUAUGAUUUAAUAUCGCAGAAAAAAACAUACAAAGAAAAAAAACCAAAACCAACAAAACACAUUAAAAAAAAAACCUGCUUAAGCAUAAUCAAAAUUCCUUUUGCAUUGCACUUUAGAGGAGGAGACCUGCACUAGCCUCAGUCUCUGGCAUCCCAAACGCACGAGGGCAGAACCCUGGAUCAGCGGACAGUUUCCCGUCAUUUACUUGGUGGAACUGUUUCUUGCUCCCAACAGUUUUACAUUGUCCCAGUAAUUCUACUCCUUUCAUAUUUCUUCUUUUUUUUUUUGUACCUAAAAACAUAUAUAUGAACUUCUUUGUUAAUGCUCACAGUUAUUAUAAUGGUUAUUAUAUAAUGGUUUCAAGCAAACAGCUCUUGUUUAGGAAAAAAAAAAAUCUCUCUAAUGUACUGUAAGUAAAUAGGAUAAUUUCAGGAUUGGAAGCCGCUUUCUGUCUACUGAGAAAUAAUCUGUAAGCUUACAGAGUUUGCAGUAAUGUCCAAAAGCAAAUAAAGAUUACCGGAAAUAAUGGUUCUUUGUUUUGAGUAACUUCUGGGGAGGAUGACCCAUUGGGGGGGGCUUUUUUUAAUCUUUUUCCUUUUAUUCUGUAAGGUCACCAGAGUGUCAGCGUUGCCUCUAGAAGAUGCUGAGAGUUAAAACGAGCUGGAAGGCACAUCUGCAGCCCCAGAUCAAUUUGUUCAUGUUCUGCUGAUGAGCUCGAGUGUGACAGUAUCCCAUAACGCGAUGUUGCACUCCCCUUGUGCACAGAACUCUGGACUGACGGUUCAUAGUAAAAAGCAGGUAAAUACUGAAUUUAUGGGAAGAUGGUGCAACAAAGGUGAGUUUUCCAGAAAACUGACGUUAAGAUUUCAGAAUGGCUUCAAAACGCGUUCAUCUUUUGCUUUAUUUCUCAACUGACUUACUUAACGGAUUAUCCAUUUCCUUCUUUCUUUUCCAUAAGCUGAAGUGCUCUUGGAUGAAGCGAGUCCUUUGAACACACCGAGUAGUGAGGAUGUCUUUAGAAACGAUGGUGUGAUGUCAAACACUGAAGUCUGUAAGGCUGGGCUUGUAAGUAUAGUGCGUAGUCUUCUCAUCCCCCUCCCUCUUUCCAGUCCUGCAUCUCCCUUGCUUCUUGUCUUCAGGACAGGAAAUGAAGAGAAUUCUUUCUAAGUAAGUUAAAAAUCAAAGCACUCCGAAAUUGUCAUAUACCCAUGACAGGAUUAAACUGAUGGCUUCCGAGGUGGCUGGAAAACUGCUAAUGAAAUGGCAUCAUCACCAGAGGGCUUCUGCAUUGAGAACCCCCAAACCUGUAACAAGUCAUUAAAAAUUGUGCAUCGAAGGUUGUUUUUUGUUUUGCUUUGAAAGGUUCAUUAUAAAAAUCUCAUUAAUUUUUUAA
Molecule: long non-coding RNA, 2772 nt
Organism: Pezoporus flaviventris
Lineage: Eukaryota; Metazoa; Chordata; Aves; Psittaciformes; Psittacidae
Exons: 4
Source: RefSeq, a predicted model, not a curated record